Molecule: ribosomal RNA, 446 nt
Filed under: uncultured bacterium
Lineage: Bacteria
Description: partial 16S ribosomal RNA
Rfam family: Bacterial small subunit ribosomal RNA
Source: RNAcentral
ACGAACGCUGGCGGCAGGCCUAAAACAUGCAAGUCGAACGAACCUUCGGGUUAGUGGCGCACGGGUGAGUAACACGUGGGAAUGUGCCUCUGGGUGCGGAACAACGUCGGGAAACUGACGCUAAUACCGCAUAAUGUCUACGGACCAAAGAUUUAUUGCCCAGAGAUCAGCCCGCGUCUGAUUAGCUAGUUGGUGAGGUAAUGGCUCACCAAGGCGACGAUCAGUAGCUGGUCUGAGAGGAUGAUCAGCCACACUGGAACUGAGACACGGUCCAGACUCCUACGGGAGGCAGCAGUUAGGAAUAUUGGACAAUGGGGGCAACCCUGAUCCAGCCAUGCCGCGUGUGUGAAGAAGGCCUUAGGGUUGUAAAGCACUUUCGGCUGUGAAGAUAAUGACAGUAGCAGAAGAAGAAGCUCCGGCUAAAUUCGUGCCAGCCGCCGCAGUAA